AACGAACGCUGGCGGCAUGCCUAACACAUGCAAGUCGAACGAGACCUUCGGGUCUAGUGGCGCACGGGUGCGUAACGCGUGGGAACCUGCCCUUAGGUUCGGAAUAACUCCCCGAAAGGGGUGCUAAUACCGGAUAAUGUCUUCUGAUCAAAGAUUCAUCGCCCUUGGAUGGGCCCGCGUUGUUUGAGCUAGGUGGUAGGGUAAAAGCCUACCAAGGCGACGAUCCAUAGCUGGUUUGAGAGGAUGAUCAGCCACACUGGGAAUGAGAGACGGCACAGACGCGGAGGGGAGGCAGCAGCGGGGAAGAUUGGAGAAGGGGGGCAAGGCUGAUCCAGCCAUAGCGCGUGGGUGAAGAAGGAGUUAGGGUGGGAAAGACCGUGUGGGGGGAAAGAAAAGCAGCAGGUUAAUACCCCGCUGUUCUGACGGUACCAAAAGAAUAAGCACCGGCGAACUUCGUG
RNAcentral lists this ribosomal RNA (458 nucleotides) under uncultured bacterium. RNAcentral's name for it is "partial 16S ribosomal RNA". It matches the Rfam family "Bacterial small subunit ribosomal RNA", at positions 29 to 507 of the family's 1533-position model. The record is from RNAcentral.